GGGACUACCAGGGUUUCUAAUCCUGUUUGCUCCCCACGCUUUCGUGCAUGAGCGUCAGUGCAGGCCCAGGGGAUUGCCUUCGCCAUCGGUGUUCCUCCGCAUAUCUACGCAUUUCACUGCUACACGCGGAAUUCCAUCCCCCUCUGCCGCACUCCAGCUUUGCAGUCACAAGCGCCAUUCCCAGGUUAAGCCCGGGGAUUUCACGCCUGUCUUACAAAACCGCCUGCGCACGCUUUACGCCCAGUAAUUCCGAUUAACGCUUGCACCCUACGUAUUACCGCGGCUGCUGGCAC
Molecule: unclassified non-coding RNA, 293 nt
Filed under: uncultured Gammaproteobacteria bacterium
Lineage: Bacteria; Pseudomonadati; Pseudomonadota; Gammaproteobacteria
Description: contains 16S-23S intergenic spacer region
Source: RNAcentral